This 301-nucleotide ribosomal RNA is filed under the name uncultured bacterium. Its description in RNAcentral is "partial 16S ribosomal RNA". It matches the Rfam family "Bacterial small subunit ribosomal RNA", at positions 509 to 807 of the family's 1533-position model. The record is from RNAcentral.
CAGUCGCCACGGUAAUACGUAGGUGGCAAGCGUUGUCCGGAAUUAUUGGGCGUAAAGGGCUCGCAGGCGGUUUCUUAAGUCUGAUGUGAAAGCCCCCGGCUCAACCGGGGAGGGUCAUUGGAAACUGGGAAGCUUGAGUGCAGAAGAGGAGAGUGGAAUUCCACGUGUAGCGGUGAAAUGCGUAGAGAUGUGGAGGAACACCAGUGGCGAAGGCGACUCUCUGGUCUGUAACUGACGCUGAGGAGCGAAAGCGUGGGGAGCGAACAGGAUUAGAGACCCCGGUAGUCCCUGUCUCUUAUAC